Molecule: ribosomal RNA, 253 nt
Filed under: uncultured bacterium
Lineage: Bacteria
Description: partial 16S ribosomal RNA
Rfam family: Bacterial small subunit ribosomal RNA
Source: RNAcentral
GACAGAGGAGGCAAGCGGUGUUCGGAAUCAUUGGGCUUAAAGCGCGCGUAGGCGGCCUUGUAAGUGUCUUGUGAAAUCCCACGGCUCACCCGUGGAACUGCAGGGCAAACUGCAAGACUUGAGGUCGGUAGAGGCGCCUGGAACUCUAGGUGGAGCGGUGAAAUGCGUAGAUAUCUAGGGGAACGCCGGAGGCGAAAGCGGGGCGCUGGGCCGAUUCUGACGCUGAGGUGCGAAAGCGUGGGGAGCAAACAGG